RNAcentral lists this ribosomal RNA (460 nucleotides) under uncultured bacterium. Its description in RNAcentral is "partial 16S ribosomal RNA". It matches the Rfam family "Bacterial small subunit ribosomal RNA", at positions 338 to 795 of the family's 1533-position model. The record is from RNAcentral.
CCUACGGGUGGCAGCAGUGAGGAAUAUUGGUCAAUGGGCGCGAGCCUGAACCAGCCAAGUAGCGUGAAGGAUGACUGCCCUACGGGUUGUAAACUUCUUUUAUAAAGGAAUAAAGUGAGGCACGUGUGCCUUUUUGUAUGUACUUUAUGAAUAAGGAUCGGCUAACUCCGUGCCAGCAGCCGCGGUAAUACGGAGGAUCCGAGCGUUGGCCGGAUUUAUUGGGUUUAAAGGGAGCGUAGAGGGGUUGUUAAGUCAGUUGUGAAAGUUUCGGGAUCAACCGUAAAAUUGCAAUUGAUACUGGCAGCCUUGAGUACAGUUGAGGUAGGCGGAAUUCGUGGUGUAGCGGUGAAAUGCUUAGAUAUCACGAAGAACUCCGAUUGCGAAGGCAGCUUACUAAACUGCCACUGACAUUGAUGCUCGAAAGUGUGGGUAUCAAACAGGAUUAGAUACCCCAGUAGUC